Non-coding RNA from Cricetulus griseus (Chinese hamster), 1816 nucleotides. NCBI's taxonomy places the organism in Eukaryota, Metazoa, Chordata, Mammalia, Rodentia, Cricetidae. The record is from RefSeq and is a predicted model, not a curated record.
GCUCCCCGGGCUCCUGAUGACGCAAAUCACCCGCGUCCGAUAAGCCUUCCGCAGGCGGAGUAGCCAAAGUCUCUCCCUAAGUGAGCUCGCAACCGGAAGCUAGUCCGCGCUUCUUGAUAAUGCACGGGCUGCGCCGCCUCAUGAUGUUCCGCUCUGGAGGAAACCUUAAUCAAGGCUGUCAAACGGGUCGAUCCGGAAUAUGCUGCAAUGGUAUUUACUGCGGAGCCUAGCUGAUUAAACCUUAAUCCUAUGUCAUUCUUGAGUCCUCACUUCCCAACACUAUGUAUUCAAUAAUUAAGGUUAGGGUAGGCUUUGGGGUUAGAUGAGGGUUAGGAUUUAGAUGAGGUGUAAUGUGGGAAGUACGAAGAUAAUACUGAAAGCAGUGCAGAUGAUGGAGGCCUGGCUUCUGAAGUUCAGAGGGAGGUUUAAAGGGCCAUUUGCUAUUUUAGAUAAAGACUCAUUCUGGUCUGCUGGGGCUAAAGAGUGAGUUGUGACUAACAAGAGACCAGCAUCACUCAAGAGAAACCUUUGUUGUCCUGGGGCAACUGAUGCUGGUCAGCUGGAGCUGAGAGCCUAGUGGUGAUUAAGAAGACACCAUCAUCACCGAAGCAGAGUCUUCUGGGAAGUGUUUCCUUAGGAUCAGACACACAAGCUGUCUUGUAGAGGCCAUCAAGCUUGUACCUUGUUCUGGCAACCAAACUUGAUCAUGUGUAAAAAAUCUCAGGUGGUAUUGGUUUUGAAAGCAUAAAGGGGUCCUGGAGAGCAGCUGUCACUGCAAGAGGCCAGAAAAGACCAUUGGUGAAGGUACACCCCGAAUACCAGUUGAAGUACAAAAACUGAAGGUGUAAUGGAGAGGAGUUGAGGCUUGGCACCAAAAAGAAAGCCUAGCAUAGGCUAUUGGUUAAAGUGCAGCCCACUUACAGUAGAAGACCCCAGAAUUUUGGAGAUGCCAGAACUAUGGGACAACGGCCAAAAACAGCUGCAGCCAUGGAGUGGAGUCAGCCCAAUCCUAGAAGAUAAGCUAUGCAUGAGGCAGAGCUGGAGAAGUGACCUGUGCACUCUGGAGGAGCUCUGAAGAUCAGAAGUGGACACUAGACAUUGGAUACCUGGGUUGUUUAUACCAUUGGAGUUUGAUUUUGCUUUGUUAAGGUUGUUAUGGUGCCCUGGUUCUUCUCUCGUGAAGUAAGAAAGUAUGUAACUUAUUUUCCUAUUUUACAGGAGCCCAUAGUUGAGAGAUUUUGACUUUUAAAGACAUUUUGGGUUUUUUAAGAGACUGGAUAUUUUGAAGAGAGCUUUUAAUGCAUUUGAAUUUGUAAAGACUGGGUCCUUAGAACUUAUUUAUGUUGUAUUUUAUAAUAUUGAUAUUAAUGUGCUACCUUGGGGACAAAUGAGAAAGGAAAUGUUCUAAUUGAACAGUGUGUGUUUGUGUCAAGUUAAUAAGAAGUCAGUUGUCCUAGCCAGUUUUAAAUCACCUUAACCAGGCUAAAGUCAUUUGAGAGGAGGGAACCUCAAAUGAGAAAAUGUCUCUAUAAGAUCGGGCAAUAGGGAAGCCUAUGGGGCAUUUUCUUAACUAGUGAUUGAUGGUUGGGGCAGUGCUUAGCCCAUUGUGGGUGGGACCACCCCUGGGCUGAUGAUCCUGGGUUCUAUAAGAAAGCAGGCUGAGCAAAGCAUGAGAAGCAAGCCAACGAGAAGCACCUCUCCAUGACCCCUGGAUCAGCUCCCACCUCCAAGUUCCUGCUUGAGUUACUGUCCUGACUUCAUUUGAUGAUUGACUCAGAUGUAGAAAUGUAAACAAAGUAAAUCCUCUCCUCUCCAA